GAUUAUGGCUCAGGAUGAACGCUGGCGGCGUGCUUAACACAUGCAAGUCGAACGAAGCUAAGGGAGCUUGCUCCCAAAGCUUAGUGGCGGACGGGUGAGUAACGCGUGGGUAACCUGCCCUAUAGAGGGGGAUAACGUUCGGAAACGAACGCUAAUACCGCAUAAACCAUAAAGAGCUGCAUGGCUCUGAUGGCAAAGAUUUAUCGCUAUAGGAUGGACCUGCGUUGGAUUAGCUAGUUGGUGAGAUAACAGCUCACCAAGGCGACGAUCCAUAGCCGGCCUGAGAGGGUGAACGGCCACAUUGGGACUGAGACACGGCCCAAACUCCUACGGGAGGCAGCAGUGGGGAAUAUUGCACAAUGGGCGCAAGCCUGAUGCAGCGACGCCGCGUGAAGGAAGAAGGUCUUCGGAUUGUAAACUUCUAUCAGCAGGGAAGAAUAAAUGACGGUACCUGACUAAGAAGCCCGGCUAACUACGUGCCAGCCGCCGC
This 490-nucleotide ribosomal RNA is filed under the name uncultured bacterium. Its description in RNAcentral is "bacterial SSU rRNA". It matches the Rfam family "Bacterial small subunit ribosomal RNA", at positions 15 to 518 of the family's 1533-position model. The record is from RNAcentral.